GAUGAACGCUGGCGGCGUGCCUAAUACAUGCAAGUCGAGCGAAUGGAUUAAGAGCUUGCUCUUAUGAAGUUAGCGGCGGACGGGUGAGUAACACGUGGGUAACCUGCCCAUAAGACUGGGAUAACUCCGGGAAACCGGGGCUAAUACCGGAUAACAUUUUGAACCGCAUGGUUCGAAAUUGAAAGGCGGCUUCGGCUGUCACUUAUGGAUGGACCCGCGUCGCAUUAGCUAGUUGGUGAGGUAACGGCUCACCAAGGCAACGAUGCGUAGCCGACCUGGGAGGGUGAUCGGCCACACUGGGACUGCGAAACGGCCCAGACUCCUACGGGAGGCAGCAGUAGGGAAUCUUCCGCAAUGGACGAAAGUCUGACGGAGCAACGCCGCGUGAGUGAUGAAGGCUUUCGGGUCGUAAAACUCUGUUGUUAGGGAAGAACAAGUGCUAGUUGAAUAAGCUGGCACCUUGACGGUACCUAGCCAGAAAGCCACGGCUAACUACGUGCCAGCCGCCGCCGUAA
RNAcentral lists this ribosomal RNA (515 nucleotides) under uncultured bacterium. Its description in RNAcentral is "partial 16S ribosomal RNA". It matches the Rfam family "Bacterial small subunit ribosomal RNA", at positions 28 to 523 of the family's 1533-position model. The record is from RNAcentral.